This 120-nucleotide ribosomal RNA is filed under the name Erinaceus europaeus (western European hedgehog). The record is from RNAcentral. Lineage: Eukaryota; Metazoa; Chordata; Mammalia; Eulipotyphla; Erinaceidae.
GUCUACGACCAUACCACCCUAAACACAGCCGAUCUUAUCUGAUCUCAGAAGCUAAGCAGGGUCGGGCCUGGUUAGUACUUGGGAUGGGAGACCGCCUGGGAAUACUGGGUACUAUAAAAA